GGAGGCCCGCUAGUACUGCAGUAGAACGCUGAAGAGAGGAGCUUGCUCUUCUUGGAUGAGUUGCGAACGGGUGAGUAACGCGUAGGUAACCUGCCUUGUAGCGGGGGAUAACUAUUGGAAACGAUAGCUAAUACCGCAUAACAAUGGAUGACACAUGUCAUUUAUUUGAAAGGGGCAAUUGCUCCACUACAAGAUGGACCUGCGUUGUAUUAGCUAGUAGGUGAGGUAAUGGCUCACCUAGGCGACGAUACAUAGCCGACCUGAGAGGGUGAUCGGCCACACUGGGACUGAGACACGGCCCAGACUCCUACGGGAGGCAGCAGUAGGGAAUCUUCGGCAAUGGGGGCAACCCUGACCGAGCAACGCCGCGUGAGUGAAGAAGGUUUUCGGAUCGUAAAGCUCUGUUGUAAGUCAAGAACGGGUGUGAGAGUGGAAAGUUCACACUGUGACGGUAGCUUACCAGAAAGGGACGGCUAACUACGUGCCAGCAGCCGCGGUAAUACGUAGGUCCCGAGCGUUGUCCGGAUUUAUUGGGCGUAAAGCGAGCGCAGGCGGUUUGAUAAGUCUGAAGUUAAAGGCUGUGGCUCAACCAUAGUUCGCUUUGGAAACUGUCAAACUUGAGUGCAGAAGGGGAGAGUGGAAUUCCAUGUGUAGCGGUGAAAUGCGUAGAUAUAUGGAGGAACACCGGUGGCGAAAGCGGCUCUCUGGUCUGUAACUGACGCUGAGGCUCGAAAGCGUGGGGAGCGAACAGGAUUAGAUACCCUGGUAGUCCACGCCGUAAACGAUGAGUGCUAGGUGUUGGAUCCUUUCCGGGAUUCAGUGCCGCAGCUAACGCAUUAAGCACUCCGCCCUGGGGAGUACGACCGCAAGGUUGAAACUCAAAGGAAUUGACGGGGGCCCCGCACAAGCGGUGGAGCAUGUGGUUUAAUUCGAAGCAACGCGAAGAACCUUACCAGGUCUUGACAUCCCGAUGCUAUUUCUAGAGAUAGAAAGUUACUUCGGUACAUCGGUGACAGGUGGUGCAUGGUUGUCGUCAGCUCGUGUCGUGAGAUGUUGGGUUAAGUCCCGCAACGAGCGCAACCCCUAUUGUUAGUUGCCAUCAUUCAGUUGGGCACUCUAGCGAGACUGCCGGUAAUAAACCGGAGGAAGGUGGGGAUGACGUCAAAUCAUCAUGCCCCUUAUGACCUGGGCUACACACGUGCUACAAUGGUUGGUACAACGAGUUGCGAGUCGGUGACGGCGAGCUAAUCUCUUAAAGCCAAUCUCAGUUCGGAUUGUAGGCUGCAACUCGCCUACAUGAAGUCGGAAUCGCUAGUAAUCGCGGAUCAGCACGCCGCGGUGAAUACGUUCCCGGGCCUUGUACACACCGCCCGUCACACCACGAGAGUUUGUAACACCCGAAGUCGGUGAGGUAACCUUUGGAGCCAGCCGCCUAAGAUGACGAG
Molecule: ribosomal RNA, 1445 nt
Filed under: Streptococcus thermophilus
Lineage: Bacteria; Bacillati; Bacillota; Bacilli; Lactobacillales; Streptococcaceae
Description: bacterial SSU rRNA
Rfam family: Bacterial small subunit ribosomal RNA
Source: RNAcentral